UUUUAAAAUAAAAAAAAAAAAUUAACCGCUCGGUAACUUUUAUCUCUCUUUCAUCUUCUUUCUGACAUACUCUUUCAUCCUUCUCUUCUCUUCCCUUUUUUCUUCUGAAACUCAUUCUCUUCCCUUUUUUCUUCUGAAACUCUCAUUUUCACACCGCCAUUGUCUCGUCGAUUGCCUGUUCAUCUUCCGUGCUUUCUGUGUUUUUGCAUUGUGAAGAAGAAAAAAUAACGAAGGAACAAAACAUAAAUUUAGAGUUUUUAUAGUGAAAGAAUUACAAAAAUGAGAAAGAAAGGAAAAGGAAAAUCAAAGGAAAGAGAACGAACGGGACCACCUGGAACUGCUGGAUGGGGUUUAAUGGAUGAGAGCGAUAGUGACGAAGUGGUGGAAGUGUCACCAGGUUUUGAAUUUUUUCAAAUCAACCUUCACAUUAAUGGGGCAUUGGGGGAAUGGGGUUACCAUGAUGGGGAAGUGUCCACCG
Mercurialis annua (annual mercury) is the source of this 478-nucleotide long non-coding RNA. RefSeq lists it as uncharacterized. Lineage: Eukaryota; Viridiplantae; Streptophyta; Magnoliopsida; Malpighiales; Euphorbiaceae. The record is from RefSeq and is a predicted model, not a curated record. The transcript is spliced from 3 exons.